GACGAACGCUGGCGGCGUGCCUAACACAUGCAAGUCGAACGGAAAGGCCCUGCUUUUGUGGGGCGCUCGAGUGGCGAACGGGUGAGUUACACGUGAGUAACCUGCCCCUGACUUUCGGAUAACUUCAGGAAACUGGGGCUAAUAUCGGAUAGGAGCUCCUGCUGCAUGGUGGGCGCUGGAAAGUUUCGGCGGUUGGGUAUGGAAUCGCGGCUUAUAAGCUUGAUUGUGGGGUAGUGGCUUACCAAGCCUUUGACGGGUAGCUGACCUGAGAGGGGUACCGGGUAAAGUACGACUGGGGUACGACCCAGACUGCUAUGGGAGGCAACAGUGGGGAGAAUUACACAAUGAGCGGGAGCAUGAUGCGGCGACGCCGUGUGCGGGAUGACGGCCUUCGGGUUGAGAACCGCUGUCGUCUGAACCGAGGCGUGAGUGACGGUAAUGGGUAAAGAAGCACCGGCUAACUACGUG
Molecule: ribosomal RNA, 468 nt
Filed under: uncultured bacterium
Lineage: Bacteria
Description: partial 16S ribosomal RNA
Rfam family: Bacterial small subunit ribosomal RNA
Source: RNAcentral